This 460-nucleotide ribosomal RNA is filed under the name uncultured bacterium. RNAcentral describes it as "partial 16S ribosomal RNA". It matches the Rfam family "Bacterial small subunit ribosomal RNA", at positions 338 to 795 of the family's 1533-position model. The record is from RNAcentral.
CCUACGGGUGGCCGCAGUGAGGAAUAUUGGUCAAUGGGCGCGAGCCUGAACCAGCCAAGUCGCGUGAGGGAGGACGGCCCUACGGGUUGUAAACCUCUUUUGCCGGGGAGCAACGGGCGUCACGUGUGGCGCCACUGAGAGUACCCGGAGAAAAAGCAUCGGCUAAUUCCUUGCAAGCAGCCGCGGUAAUACGGGGGAUGCGGGCGUUAUCCGGAUUGCUUGGGGUUAAAGGGUGCGUAGGCGGAUCGUUAAGUCAGUGGGAAAAUUGGGGGGUCAAACCCCUUCCCGCCAUUGAAACUGGCGCUCUUGAGUGGAAGAGAGGUAUGCGGAAUGCGUGGUGUAGCGGUGAAAUGCAUAGAUAUCACGCAGAACCCCGAUUGCGAAGGCAGCAUGCCGGCUUCCGACUGACGCUGAGGCACGAAAGCGUGGGGAUCGAACAGGAUUAGAUACCCUUGUAGUC